This is an RNA transcript of Dioscorea cayenensis subsp. rotundata (Guinea yam), 996 nucleotides long. It is a transcript of the gene named UPF0496 protein 1-like, with no coding region annotated. The record is from RefSeq and is a predicted model, not a curated record. The transcript has 6 exons. NCBI's taxonomy places the organism in Eukaryota, Viridiplantae, Streptophyta, Magnoliopsida, Dioscoreales, Dioscoreaceae.
CACGGAGAUGCUGGAAAAGCUCAAUAACUUGGACACCAUGAGGUUCGUCCUGGACGAAUUCAAGCUGACGACGGUGUUAGAUGGCCUUCGUCGAAGGAAACAUGAUCUCGAGGACAAGCUCGGCAGGAUCAAAGCCUGGACGAACGCAUGGACCAUAGGCCAGUGGAUAGCCAAGUUCGGAGUCACUGUGCUCUCUGUGCUGAUCCCGGUAGCAGGUGUGCGGCCAGCUGCCACCGCCGCUAACAACGGAGCCGGUGGGGUGAUAGCACUUCUCCAGCCCUUGGUUGACUCUUAUUUGGCUGGUCAACAGAGCUCAUGCGAGGAUGAGAUAGGCCUCACUGAAAAGAUCUUGAACGAAGCUUGCUUCAUAUUUCAUAGGGUCAAGAGCGCCCGAGUUCUUGUGAAGGAGUUGCAGGAUGAGAUGGGGUUGUUGGCUAAGUGUGGCGAGUUCAUCGCUGUGGCUGGGGAGGAUGAAGAUGGGGCUGUGAGCAGAGAGAUGGACAAGAUCAAAUGUAAGGCCGGAGAAUUGGUGGAUAAGAUUGAGAAUUUGGAGAAGGAGGUGGAUUGCAGCUGCGUGGAUCUCCGCGGGGCUGCGUUGACUCUACUUCAGACAAUGACUGAACAGGUUGGAAAUUCUCAGCAAGUGUCCAUUGAGAUCCCCUCUUAGUAAAUGUGCCCAUUGAGAGCUUCGCUUAUUAAUUAAAGUUGAUGCAGCAUGGGCGCUUGACAAGGCAAAAAUGAUGCUCUUUGAUGAAAAAAGUGGCAAAAAUGAUCCUGCACAGAGACAAGAGGAACAAGAAGAGCUUGAGACUUGGCAAGAAGCUACUGACAAAGGUUGUGAGCAGUUCAUGUCAAAUGAAAGUCAACUUUUGAAUAUCUUGUUAAAGCAACAAUUUUUUAUUAGAUGUUUGUAAGCAAUGUCUGGAAGCAAUUUCUUUUUGAAUGUUUGUAAACAUUGCUUGAGAACAAGGCUUGGUUUCAUUUCAUAUGUUCUUG